This 468-nucleotide ribosomal RNA is filed under the name uncultured bacterium. Its description in RNAcentral is "partial 16S ribosomal RNA". It matches the Rfam family "Bacterial small subunit ribosomal RNA", at positions 28 to 507 of the family's 1533-position model. The record is from RNAcentral.
GACGAACGCUGGCGGCGUGCUUAACACAUGCAAGUCGAACGGAAAGGCCCUGCUUUUGUGGGGUGCUCGAGUGGCGAACGGGUGAGUAACACGUGAGUAACCUGCCCUUGACUUUGGGAUAACUUCAGGAAACUGGGGCUAAUACCGGAUAGGAGCUCCUGCUGCAUGGUGGGGGUUGGAAAGUUUCGGCGGUUGGGGAUGGACUCGCGGCUUAUCAGCUUGUUGGUGGGGUAGUGGCUUACCAAGGCUUUGACGGGUAGCCGGCCUGAGAGGGUGACCGGCCACAGUGGGACUGAGAUACGGCCCAGACUCCUACGGGAGGCAGCAGUGGGGAAUAUUGCACAAUGGGCGGAAGCCUGAUGCAGCAACGCCGCGUGCGGGAUGACGGCCUUCGGGUUGUAAACCGCUUUCGCCUGUGACGAAGCGUGAGUGACGGUAAUGUGUAAAGAAGCACCGGCUAACUACGUG